GUAGCUCAGUUGGCAGAGUGCUUGCCUAGCAUGCAUGAAGCCCUGAGUUCGAUCCUUAGC
Molecule: transfer RNA, 60 nt
Filed under: Mesocricetus auratus (golden hamster)
Lineage: Eukaryota; Metazoa; Chordata; Mammalia; Rodentia; Cricetidae
Rfam family: tRNA
About the family: Transfer RNA (tRNA) molecules are approximately 80 nucleotides in length.
Source: Rfam by way of RNAcentral